Molecule: ribosomal RNA, 1470 nt
Filed under: uncultured bacterium
Lineage: Bacteria
Description: bacterial SSU rRNA
Rfam family: Bacterial small subunit ribosomal RNA
Source: RNAcentral
GACGAACGCUGGCGGCGUGCCUAAUACAUGCAAGUAGAACGCUGAAGAGAGGAGCUUGCUCUUCUUGGAUGAGUUGCGAACGGGUGAGUAACGCGUAGGUAACCUGCCUUGUAGCGGGGGAUAACUAUUGGAAACGAUAGCUAAUACCGCAUAACAAUGGAUGACACAUGUCAUUUAUUUGAAAGGGGCAAUUGCUCCACUACAAGAUGGACCUGCGUUGUAUUAGCUAGUAGGUGAGGUAACGGCUCACCUAGGCGACGAUACAUAGCCGACCUGAGAGGGUGAUCGGCCACACUGGGACUGAGACACGGCCCAGACUCCUACGGGAGGCAGCAGUAGGGAAUCUUCGGCAAUGGGGGCAACCCUGACCGAGCAACGCCGCGUGAGUGAAGAAGGUUUUCGGAUCGUAAAGCUCUGUUGUAAGUCAAGAACGAGUGUGAGAGUGGAAAAUUCACACUGUGACGGUAGCUUACCAGAAAGGGACGGCUAACUACGUGCCAGCAGCCGCGGUAAUACGUAGGUCCCGAGCGUUGUCCGGAUUUAUUGGGCGUAAAGCGAGCGCAGGCGGUUUGAUAAGUCUGAAGUUAAAGGCUGUGGCUCAACCAUAGUUCGCUUUGGAAACUGUCAAACUUGAGUGCAGAAGGGGAGAGUGGAAUUCCAUGUGUAGCGGUGAAAUGCGUAGAUAUAUGGAGGAACACCGGUGGCGAAAGCGGCUCUCUGGUCUGUAACUGACGCUGAGGCUCGAAAGCGUGGGGAGCGAACAGGAUUAGAUACCCUGGUAGUCCACGCCGUAAACGAUGAGUGCUAGGUGUUGGAUCCUUUCCGGGAUUCAGUGCCGCAGCUAACGCAUUAAGCACUCCGCCUGGGGAGUACGACCGCAAGGUUGAAACUCAAAGGAAUUGACGGGGGCCCGCACAAGCGGUGGAGCAUGUGGUUUAAUUCGAAGCAACGCGAAGAACCUUACCAGGUCUUGACAUCCCGAUGCUAUUUCUAGAGAUAGAAAGUUACUUCGGUACAUCGGUGACAGGUGGUGCAUGGUUGUCGUCAGCUCGUGUCGUGAGAUGUUGGGUUAAGUCCCGCAACGAGCGCAACCCCUAUUGUUAGUUGCCAUCAUUCAGUUGGGCACUCUAGCGAGACUGCCGGUAAUAAACCGGAGGAAGGUGGGGAUGACGUCAAAUCAUCAUGCCCCUUAUGACCUGGGCUACACACGUGCUACAAUGGUUGGUACAACGAGUUGCGAGUCGGUGACGGCAAGCUAAUCUCUUAAAGCCAAUCUCAGUUCGGAUUGUAGGCUGCAACUCGCCUACAUGAAGUCGGAAUCGCUAGUAAUCGCGGAUCAGCACGCCGCGGUGAAUACGUUCCCGGGCCUUGUACACACCGCCCGUCACACCACGAGAGUUUGUAACACCCGAAGUCGGUGAGGUAACCUUUUGGAGCCAGCCGCCUAAGGUGGGAUAGAUGAUUGGGGUG